Molecule: RNase P RNA, 351 nt
Filed under: Oscillospiraceae bacterium
Lineage: Bacteria; Bacillati; Bacillota; Clostridia; Eubacteriales; Oscillospiraceae
Description: RNase P RNA component class A
Rfam family: Bacterial RNase P class A
About the family: Ribonuclease P (RNase P) is a ubiquitous endoribonuclease, found in archaea, bacteria and eukarya as well as chloroplasts and mitochondria. Its best characterised activity is the generation of mature 5'-ends of tRNAs by cleaving the 5'-leader elements of precursor-tRNAs.
Source: RNAcentral
CGAGUAAGCCAGACAGCCGCGAGGGAGCGGCGAAAGCCUCCCCUUGAGGAAAGUCCGGGCUCCACAGGGCAAGGAUAACGGGUAACGCCCGCCGUAGGCGACUACAGGACAAGUGCAACAGAAACAGACCGCCGGGGAUUUCCCCGGUCAGGGUGGAAAAGUGAGGUAAGAGCUCACUCGACGGCACGGUAACGCGCCGCCGCUGUAAACUCUAUCCGGAGCAACACCGCGACGCGGAGCAACAGGCUUGCCCGGCCGCUCCGCAGAGGUGGCAUUGAGGCUCGCGGUAACGCGCGUCCCAGAUAGAUGGCUGUUCAACGACAGAAUCCGGCUUAUCGGCUUGCUCGCCGC